AAGUCGGAACAAGGUAACCGCAGGUGAACCUGCAAUUGCAAGAAAUUCUUUAAUACUUGUGUGCACUGUUUUCUCUCUCGGUGGAAAGAUUAACCUUUUUCACCAACUUUAAAAAACUUUGUGCCAUUAAUCUUAAAUUUAUCAUUUGAAAAUAUAUUUUAACAGCGGAUCUCUAGGCUAUCA
RNAcentral lists this unclassified non-coding RNA (183 nucleotides) under fungal sp. Its description in RNAcentral is "partial internal transcribed spacer region". The record is from RNAcentral. Lineage: Eukaryota; Fungi.